Molecule: ribosomal RNA, 492 nt
Filed under: uncultured bacterium
Lineage: Bacteria
Description: partial 16S ribosomal RNA
Rfam family: Bacterial small subunit ribosomal RNA
Source: RNAcentral
AGUGAACGCUGGCGGUAGGCCUAACACAUGCAAGUCGAACGGCAGCACAGUAAGAGCUUGCUCUUACGGGUGGCGAGUGGCGGACGGGUGAGGAAUACAUCGGAAUCUACUUUUUCGUGGGGGACAACGUAGGGAAACUUACGCUAAUACCGCAUACGACCUACGGGUGAAAGCAGGGGAUCUUCGGACCUUGCGCGAUUGAAUGAGCCGAUGUCGGAUUAGCUAGUUGGCGGGGUAAAGGUCCACCAAGGGGACGAUCCGUAGCUGGUCUGAGAGGAUGAUCAGCCACACUGGGACUGAGACACGGUCCAGACUCCUACGGGAGGCAGCAGUGGGGAAUAUUGGGCAAUGGGCGCAAGCCUGAUCCAGCCAUGCCGCGUGGGUGAAGAAGGCCUUCGGGUUGUAAAGCCCUUUUGUUGGGAAAGAAAAGCAGCAGGUUAAUACCCCGCUGUUCUGACGGUACCCAAAGAAUAAGCACCGGCUAACUUCGUG